This 566-nucleotide ribosomal RNA is filed under the name uncultured bacterium. RNAcentral describes it as "bacterial SSU rRNA". It matches the Rfam family "Bacterial small subunit ribosomal RNA", at positions 338 to 916 of the family's 1533-position model. The record is from RNAcentral.
CCUACGGGAGGCAGCAGUGGGGAAUAUUGGGCAAUGGAGGAAACUCUGACCCAGCGACGCCGCGUGCGGGAUGAAGGCCUUCGGGUUGUAAACCGCUUUCAGCAGGGAAGAAGCGAAAGUGACGGUACCUGCAGAAGAAGCACCGGCUAACUAUGCGCCAGCAGCCGCGGUAAUACAUAGGGUGCAAGCGUUGUCCGGAAUUAUUGGGCGUAAAGAGCUCGUAGGUGGUUCGUCACGUCGGAUGUGAAAAUCUGGGGCUUAACCCCAGACCUGCAUUCGAUACGGGCGAGCUUGAGUAUGGUAGGGGAGUCUGGAAUUCCUGGUGUAGCGGUGGAAUGCGCAGAUAUCAGGAGGAACACCAAUGGCGAAGGCAGGACUCUGGGCCAUUACUGACACUGAGGAGCGAAAGCGUGGGGAGCGAACAGGAUUAGAUACCCUGGUAGUCCACGCCGUAAACGGUGGGCACUAGUUGUGGGGACCUUCCACGGUCUCUGCGACGCAGCUAACGCAUUAAGUGCCCCGCCUGGGGAGUACGAUCGCAAGNUUAAACUCAAAGGAAUUGACGG